RNAcentral lists this ribosomal RNA (459 nucleotides) under uncultured bacterium. Its description in RNAcentral is "partial 16S ribosomal RNA". It matches the Rfam family "Bacterial small subunit ribosomal RNA", at positions 28 to 507 of the family's 1533-position model. The record is from RNAcentral.
GAUGAACGCUGGCGGCGCGCCUAACACAUGCAAGUCGAACGGCACCCCUCCUCGGAGGGAAGCGAGUGGCGAACGGCUGAGUAACACGUGGAGAACCUGCCCCCUCCCCCGGGAUAGCCGCCCGAAAGGACGGGUAAUACCGGAUACCCCGGGGUGCCGCAUGGCACCCCGGCUAAAGCCCCGACGGGAGGGGAUGGCUCCGCGGCCCAUCAGGUAGACGGCGGGGUGACGGCCCACCGUGCCGACAACGGGUAGCCGGGUUGAGAGACCGGCCGGCCAGAUGGGGACUGAGACACGGCCCAGACUCCUACGGGAGGCAGCAGUGGGGAAUCUUGCGCAAUGGGGGGAACCCUGACGCAGCGACGCCGCGUGCGGGACGGAGGCCUUCGGGUCGUAAACCGCUUUCAGCAGGGAAGAGUCAAGACUGUACCUGCAGAAGAAGCCCCGGCUAACUACGUG